RNAcentral lists this ribosomal RNA (468 nucleotides) under uncultured bacterium. Its description in RNAcentral is "partial 16S ribosomal RNA". It matches the Rfam family "Bacterial small subunit ribosomal RNA", at positions 28 to 507 of the family's 1533-position model. The record is from RNAcentral.
GACGAACGCUGGCGGCGUGCUUAACACAUGCAAGUCGAACGGAAAGGCCCUGCUUUUGUGGGGUGCUCGAGUGGCGAACGGGUGAGUAACACGUGAGUAACCUGCCCUUGACUUUGGGAUAACUUCAGGAAACUGGGGCUAAUACCGGAUAGGAGCUCCUGCUGCAUGGUGGGGGUUGGAAAGUUUCGGCGGUUGGGGAUGGACUCGCGGCUUAUCAGCUUGUUGGUGGGGUAGUGGCUUACCAAGGCUUUGACGGGUAGCCGGCCUGAGAGGGUGACCGGCCACAUUGGGACUGAGAUGCGGCCCAGACUCCUACGGGAGGCAGCAGUGGGGAAUAUUGCACAAUGGGCGGAAGACUGAUGCAGCAACGCCGCGUGCGGGAUGACGGCCUUCGGGUUGUAAACCGCUUUCGCCUGUGACGAAGCGUGAGUGACGGUAAUGGGUAAAGAAGCACCGGCUAACUACGUG